AUACGGAGGGGGCGAGCGUUGUUCGGAUUUACUGGGCGUGAAGGGCGCGUAGGCGGCGCGACACGUCAGGGGUGAAAGGCCCGGGCUCAACCUGGGAACUGCCUUUGAAACUGUCGUGCUAGAGACCGGGAGAGGAUGGCGGAAUUCCCAGUGUAGAGGUGAAAUUCGUAGAUAUUGGGAAGAACACCGGUGGCGAAGGCGGCCAUCUGGACCGGUACUGACGCUGAGGUGCGAAAGCGUGGGGAGCAAACAGGAUUAGAAACCCCGGUAGUCC
RNAcentral lists this ribosomal RNA (274 nucleotides) under uncultured bacterium. RNAcentral describes it as "partial 16S ribosomal RNA". It matches the Rfam family "Bacterial small subunit ribosomal RNA", at positions 523 to 796 of the family's 1533-position model. The record is from RNAcentral.